Molecule: ribosomal RNA, 449 nt
Filed under: uncultured bacterium
Lineage: Bacteria
Description: SSU rRNA
Rfam family: Bacterial small subunit ribosomal RNA
Source: RNAcentral
AGGAUGAACGCUGGCGGUCUGCUUAACACAUGCAAGUCGAACGGAGUACCUCGGUACUUAGUGGCGGACGGGUGAGUAACGCGUGAGAAUCUGCCCUUAGGUCGGGGACAACCAUUGGAAACGAUGGCUAAUACCGGAUAAGCCGAGAGGUAAAAGAUUAAUUGCCUAGGGAAGAGCUCGCGUCUGAUUAGCUAGUUGGUGAGGUAAAGGCUCACCAAGGCAUCGAUCAGUAGCUGGUCUGAGAGGAUGAUCAGCCACACUGGGACUGAGACACGGCCCAGACUCCUACGGGAGGCAGCAGUGGGGAAUUUCCGCAAUGGGCGAAAGCCUGACGGAGCAAGACCGCGUGGGGGAAGAAGGCUCUUGGGUUGUAAACCCCUUUUCUCUGGGAAGAACACAAUGACGGUACCCGGUAAAGAAACCCCGGCUAACUCCGCGCCAGCAGCCGC